CAGGCCUAACACAUGCAAGUCGAACGAUGACUCUCUAGCUUGCUAGAGAUGAUUAGUGGCGGACGGGUGAGUAACAUUUAGGAAUCUGCCUAGUAGUGGGGGAUAGCUCGGGGAAACUCGAAUUAAUACCGCAUACGACCUACGGGUGAAAGGGGGCGCAAGCUCUUGCUAUUAGAUGAGCCUAAAUCAGAUUAGCUAGUUGGUGGGGUAAAGGCCCACCAAGGCGACGAUCUGUAACUGGUCUGAGAGGAUGAUCAGUCACACCGGAACUGAGACACGGUCCGGACUCCUACGGGAGGCAGCAGUGGGGAAUAUUGGACAAUGGGGGCAACCCUGAUCCAGCCAUGCCGCGUGUGUGAAGAAGGCCUUUUGGUUGUAAAGCACUUUAAGCAGGGAGGAGAGGCUAAUGGUUAAUACCCAUUAGAUUAGACGUUACCUGCAGAAUAAGCACGGGCUAACUCUGUGCCAGCAGCCGCGGUA
RNAcentral lists this ribosomal RNA (480 nucleotides) under uncultured bacterium. RNAcentral describes it as "bacterial SSU rRNA". It matches the Rfam family "Bacterial small subunit ribosomal RNA", at positions 43 to 522 of the family's 1533-position model. The record is from RNAcentral.